Molecule: long non-coding RNA, 851 nt
Filed under: Olea europaea subsp. europaea
Lineage: Eukaryota; Viridiplantae; Streptophyta; Magnoliopsida; Lamiales; Oleaceae
Source: RNAcentral
UGUUUAAUGUACUUUAAAAUUCACAGGAUAAAUAACUCAAAUAGAAUCGUUAAAUCCAUCACAUCUUUCACUUUACUCAAAAACGAAAAAGCAAAGAAAAGCGUACAAGUAUCAAAACAAGCUGGCCCAACAAUGACAAAUACUAAAAACAGAUAGGUAAACUUUUGCAAUAGAACUUCAAAAGAAUCAGUAAGUAAAGAAGAACAAAGUUGUCCAUCAAGAUCAUACAUAACUCCCCUUUCCCAUUCAUGGUGCUGGGAUGUUUAAGUGAGUAAGUGCAGGCACAUGUUUACAGCUGAUAGUUCAAAACUACUAGAAGGUAGAGUCAUCGUGAAAUAUCUGAGUGUAGAAUUGACAAUAGCAGAUGCUAAACAUGUCAACAAGGCUUCUUCCUGCAAAACAGUCACCCACUCAGCAUCACAGAUGGGUGAUCACAGAAUGCCUCCCAUCAUAUCAUCACUGAUUCAUUGUGAAAACCUCCGACCUGAGAUAAAGACGAGAUUUAUUACCAAGUAUUUCAAAAAAGGUUGAUGGAAUUAAAUUGUUGAUAAACGAAUUGAGACGUGGAGUGACGCACUUAUUUAGAGAAGGCAAGCAGGGUAUAUGGCUAAUAAGGGGAUGGAGAUGAAGACUACCUAAAUAUUCGAACAUGGAUACAUGCAAGGUACGGUUGGGGGUCUCAUAAGAUUUGAUAAGAUGCAAAUUCCUUAUUUCUGAAAACAAUGAAGGCUGAUCUUAGUGAUAAUUCCUUUGUAGUUAUUUCUGCAAAUGUGAGUAGUAAUUAAAAAUUUAUAGCUUUAUUUAGGCUUUCAUCGACUAUUUAUGAUGGAGUUAGUACCUCCAUAUUUAGC